GGCGACCACGGAGCUUUUGCCUAAAUUUUAGACUCUUAACAGUGCUGCGGGCCACGGCGGGGACCCAACCCCUGGUGGAGGGCGUUUUCAUCACACCUCUCGUGUGUAGUUUUGUUUGUAGUAGCACGGGUGUGUUUAGUUUGUUUAUCUCCCCUAAUUGAGUUUUACCUGCCGGUGGGGCCCCAGCCCUGUCCACCCCCUUUUGUUUGACUUUUGUACAGCCGAGUUAUUUUGGUGUUGAGUUGGAUCUAAUAAAAUUGUACUGCCUAACCCUCAACCCUGUCUCUGCCUCUGGAACCGAACCGUAUCUGCGCGUGCCUGUUUCCGGUUAAUUCCUGGGGUGAAAUUCCCCAGGUGGCGUUGUCGUUGACCGUUCCACCUCUCUCCACCCCGCCACACAUGUAUUUGAUGAUGAUCCCACAGGACAAACAGCGAUGCAGUUGUGUGCAAGAGCUUUAA
Molecule: long non-coding RNA, 459 nt
Filed under: Takifugu rubripes (torafugu)
Lineage: Eukaryota; Metazoa; Chordata; Actinopteri; Tetraodontiformes; Tetraodontidae
Description: lncRNA (ENSTRUG00000032307.1)
Source: RNAcentral